This 762-nucleotide ribosomal RNA is filed under the name uncultured Neisseriaceae bacterium. RNAcentral describes it as "bacterial SSU rRNA". It matches the Rfam family "Bacterial small subunit ribosomal RNA", at positions 28 to 780 of the family's 1533-position model. Lineage: Bacteria; Pseudomonadati; Pseudomonadota; Betaproteobacteria; Neisseriales; Neisseriaceae. The record is from RNAcentral.
AUUGAACGCUGGCGGCAUGCUUUACACAUGCAAGUCGGACGGCAGCGGGGGUGCUUGCACCUGCCGGCGAGUGGCGAACGGGUGAGUAACAUAUUGGAAUGUACCGAGUAGUGGGGGAUAACCAAUCGAAAGAUUGGCUAAUACCGCAUACGUCCUGAGGGGGAAAGCAGGGGAUCUUCGGACCUUGCGCUAUUUGAGCAGCCAAUAUCUGAUUAGCUAGUUGGUGGGGUAAAGGCCCACCAAGGCGACGAUCAGUAGCGGGUCUGAGAGGAUGAUCCGCCACACUGGGACUGAGACACGGCCCAGACUCCUACGGGAGGCAGCAGUGGGGAAUUUUGGACAAUGGGGGCAACCCUGAUCCAGCCAUGCCGCGUGUCUGAAGAAGGCCUUCGGGUUGUAAAGGACUUUUGUUAGGGAAGAAAAGGGAAGUGUUAAUACCACUUUUUGCUGACGGUACCUAAAGAAUAAGCACCGGCCAACUACGUGCCAGCAGCCGCGGUAAUACGUAGGGUGCGAGCGUUAAUCGGAAUUACUGGGCGUAAAGCGAGCGCAGACGGUUACUUAAGCAGGAUGUGAAAUCCCCGGGCUCAACCUGGGAACUGCGUUCUGAACUGGGUAGCUAGAGUAUGUCAGAGGGGGGUAGAAUUCCACGUGUAGCAGUGAAAUGCGUAGAGAUGUGGAGGAAUACCGAUGGCGAAGGCAGCCCCCCUGGGAUAAUACUUGACGUUCAUGCUCGAAAGUGUGGGUAGUAAACAUGGAUUA